Molecule: RNA transcript, 6951 nt
Organism: Oncorhynchus keta (chum salmon)
Lineage: Eukaryota; Metazoa; Chordata; Actinopteri; Salmoniformes; Salmonidae
Gene name: zinc finger protein
Exons: 7
Source: RefSeq, a predicted model, not a curated record
AGCGAGGGCGCCCUCUCGCUCUCCUGCUCUCGUUUCGCUCUCUCUCUCCUGCUCCGGUUUCCCGGUGAAUGAUAGCCUAUCAACCGAGCGGUUUGCCUAUUCCGUACAGAGCAAGAGCCACGCUUAAAAAGAGAGGCGCAUCUUCAAAUCGCACUACUGGGCUACAGAAACGACAGCCAGAGCACAUUGGAACUAGGGGGUAGAUUACCAACGGCAACACAUUUUUUUAAAGUUUCACCUGUGGCGGGAGCACAUUGAAAGCACAACCUGAGGACUGUUUAUUCAACUUCAACGGAUUUAGCGAACACAAGUGACUACACUGCCCGGCGGAUGAUAAGCGUUCGGGACCGGGGUUGUUGUUUUCGCGGGGAAUCAGGUUAACAUUACCAGAGCAAGAUGAAGUCGGCAGGGGUGGUGGAAGGAGGACUGUUCACAGAGAGUUACUGCAACAUCUGUAACGCCCAGCUCAUCUCCGAGUCGCAACGCACAGCACACUAUGAGAGUAAGAAACAUGCCAACAAGGUCCGUCUCUUUUACAUGUUACACCCAGAAGACGGUGGCCCACCGUCCAAGAGACUGAGACCAGACAACCCGGGCAGUGCAGAGACAGAGGUGGACAGGAAUAAGUGCUGUACUUUGUGUAAUAUGUUCUUCACGUCGGCCAUCGUGGCCCAGUCUCACUACCAGGGAAAGACACAUGCUAAGAGAGUACGACUGGUACUGGGAGAAACACCCAGCAUACCUACUGCUACCAACAGCCCUACCACCACAGACUCAUCCCCUUCUACCCCCCAGCCCAGUGACUCCACCCCUCCCCAUGCCUCACCUGCCCUACCAUGGCCCUCCUCUCUAGCACCCCCGGUGGCGGUGGUGGGUAGUGGUGGUGGGAGUGGUGAGACAGGGAAGUACUGCUGUCUGUGUGGAGCCUGGUUCAACAAUCCUCUGAUGGCCCAGCAACACUACGAGGGGAAAAAACAUCGCAGGAAUGCAGCCAGAGUGCGACUACUGGAGCAGCUAGCUGGCAGUCUGGACGCUACUGAAACUACAGGGUCACUUUGGUGGGAUCAUGUCAUAAAUCAUGGCCUGACGAUGAGGGAGGCUGGGCAGAGAGUCCAACCCAACCUGUGUUGCUACACGGUAGCAUCCAUAAUACGGACAUUUAGACUGCAGAACAGGUAUGUCUUCAACUUUCUACACAAGACUGUACCUAUGUAAUUGUUGCACAUCAUUCUGCAUCACAGUACAAUACAAUGUAAUCCUACAAUAUUAGGUCUAUGCUCCUCAGUGAACAAAAAAAAUAGGUAUAUUGCUGUGAAGUACAUGUAAUACAGUUUUGAUGUUAUUGUGUACAGUAUGACAGUACAGUACAGUGGCUUGCGAAAGUAUUCAACCCCCUUGGCAUUUUUUCUAUUUUGUUGCCUUACAACCUGGAAAUAAAAUUGAGUUUUGGGGGGUUUGUAUCAUUUGAUUUACACAACAUGCCUACCACUUUGAAGAUGCAAAAUAUUUUUGGGGUGUGAAACAAACAAGAAAUAAGACAAAAAACUGAAAACUUGAGAAUGCAUAACUAUUCACCCCCCCUCCCCUAAAGUCAAUACUUUGAAGAGUCACCUUUUGCAGCAAUUACAGCUGCAAGUCUCUUGGGGUAUGUCUCUAUAAUCUUGGCACAUCUAGCCACUGGGAUUUUUGCCCAUUCUUCAAGCCAAACCUGCUCCAGCUCCUUCAAGUUGGAUGGUGUACAGCUAUCUUUGAGUCUUACCACAGCUUCUCAAUUGGAUUGAGGUCUGGGCUUUGACUAGGCCAUUCCAAGACAUUUAAAUGUUUCCAUUUAAACCAUUCGAGUGUUGCUUUAGCAUUAUGCUUACAAAACAAUAAACGUGAACAAAACCGAAAACAGUACCGUGUGGUGAACAAACACAAACACAGACACGGAAACAAUCACCCACAAAACAACAGUGAAACCCAGGCUACCUAAGUAUGAUUCUCAAUCAGAGACAACUAACGACACCGGACACAGAAAACCAACCUAGAAACAGAAAACAUAGAAUGCCCCCCCAACUCACGUCCUGACCAGCUAAAACAGACAAAUAACACAAGAACUAGGGUCAGAACGUGACAGUACCCCCCACCCCCCCAAGGUGCGGACUCUGGCCGCAAAACCUGAACCGAUAGGGGAGGGUCUGGGUGGGCAUCUGUCCACGGUGGCGGCUCCUGCCCUGGACGUGGACCCCACUCCACCAUAGUCUUAGUCCGCCUCUGUGGCCUCCUAGGAACGGCGACCCUUGCCACCGACCCUGACCUGAGAAUCCUAAUAAAUAGGCCCACAGGACUGAGGGACACUUCCGGACAUAACAAACUCCUCCGGACUGAGGGAUAGCUCAGGACUGAGAGGUAGCUCAGGACUGAGAGGUAGCUCAGGCUGGUUGACGGCUCUGCAAGCUUCUGGCUGACUGACGGCUCUGGCAGCUCCUGGCUGACUGACGGCUCUGCCAGCUCCUGGCUGGUUGACAGUUCUGGCAGCUCCUGGCUGGUCGACGACUCUGGCAGCUCCUGGCUGGUUGACGGCUCUGGCAGCUACUGGCUGACUGGCGACUCUGGCAGCUACUAGCUGACUGGCGACUCUGGCAGCUCCUGGCUGACUGGCGGCUCCUGGCUGACUGGCGGCUCCAAGCUGACUGGCGGCUCUGGCGGCUCAUGACAGACUGGCGGCUCAUGACAGACUGGCGGCUCAUGACAGACGGGAGACUCUAGCAGCUCUGGACAGACGGGAGACUCUAGCAGCUCUGCACAGGUGGGAGACUCUAGCAGCUCUGGACAGGCGGGAGAUUCUAGCAGCUCUGGACAGGCGGGAGACUCUAGCAGCUCUGGACAGGCGGGAGGCUCUAGCAGCUCUGGACAGGCGGGAGACUCUAGCAGCUCUGGACAGGCGGGAGACUCUAGCAGCGCUGGACAGAUGGGAGACUCUAGCAGCUCUGGACAGGCGGGAGACCCUGUAGGGAGGAGACAGAGAGACAGCCUGGUGCGUGGGGCUGCCACAGGACCCACCAGGCUGGGGAGAACUCCAGGAGACUUGGUGUUAGGAGUAUGCACCUGAAGGACCGGGCUGUGGGGGAGCACUGGAGCUCUGGUGUGCAGCCUUGGCACCACUCCCCCAGGCUGGAUAACUACUCUAGCCCGGACCCUCCAGAGUGCAGGCACAGGUUGAACCGGGCUGUGGGUAAGCACGGGAGAUCUAGUGCCUACUACGCGCACCUCUCUCUUAGGCUCCACUCCCACAUUUGCCCGGCACGAGUGGAGCUACACCCUCCCAGCACCCCGGAGACACAGCACGCAGAGCCGGCGCAGGAUACUCUGGAACGAAACAGAGUACCGGCGACCAGACACGCUGAGCAGGCACCAUACGCCCUGGCUGGAUGCCCACACUCGCAUGACACUUUCGGGCGGAUGCCCUAUAUUGCACCGGGCUAUGGGCACGUACUGGCGACACCGUGUGCUUAACACACGGUGCCUGACAAGUAACGCGCUGUUUAUAAUAAGCACGAGGACGGAGCUCAGUUCUGCUACCUGGCUUAGCCACACUCCUUGUGUGCCUACCCCCCAAAAAAAUAUUGGGGGCUGCCUCUCGUACCCGUCGCCCUGCCGUGCUGCCUCCUCAUAUCGCCGCCGCUCAGCUUUCGCUGCAUCCAGCUCUGCUUUGGAGCGGCGAUAUUCCCCAGCCUGUGCCCAGGGUCCUUCUCUAUUCAAAAUCUCCUUCAAUGUCAAGGAGUCUUGUGAUGCUGGCCGCUGCUGCUGCUGCUGCCGCUGUCUGUUACCACGCCGCUUGGUCCUUGGUUGGUGGGUGAUUCUGUAAGGGUUUUCCUCCUCCUCAUCUGAAGAGGAGGUGUAAGCAAGGAUCUGACCAAGAUGUGGAGUGGUAAGUGUCCAUGGUUGUUUUUUUUAUAAUAGAUUUAAUGGUUUAAUAGAUUUAAUGGUGCUCUGUGGGAUGUUCAAAGUUUCAGAUAUGUUUUUAUAGCCCAACCCUGGUCUUUACUUCUCCACAACUUUGUCCCUGACCUGUUUGGAGAGCUCCUUGGUCUUCAUGGUGUCGCUUGCUUGGUGGUGCCACAUACUUAGUGGUGUUGCAGACUCUGGGGCCUUUCAGAACAGGUAUAUAUAUUGAGAUCAUGUGGCAGGUCCUGUGACACUUAGAUUGCACACAGGUGGACUUUGUUUAACUAAUUAUGUGAGUUCUGAAGGUAAUUGGUUGCACCAGAUCUUAUUUAGGGGCUUCAUAGCAAAGGGGGUGAACACAUAUACACGCACCACUUUACAGUUGUUUAUUUUUUAGAAUUGUUUGAAAAAGUUAUUUUUCCCAUUUCACUUCACCAAUUUAAACUAUUUUGUGUAUGUCCAUUACAUGAAAUCCAAAUAAAAAUCCAUUUAAAUUACAGGUUGUAAUGCAACAAAAUAGGAAAAAUGCCAAGGGGGAUGAAUACUUUUGCAAGGCACUGUAUAUAAAAAAGAACCUAGGCAAUGACAUCAUAUUCUUGCAUUUUCUACAGAACUGCCAGAUGACCUGAGGGUGGAAGGCAACAUCUGUUCACCCAUGAACAGGAACUGGCCAUUGUCAAUCUAGUGUUGGCAAACAACACCAUCCGCCUACAUCAAGUACGAGAGCAAAUCAUCGCAGAUUACACAACAUUCAAUAAUAUCAACUGUGUCAGUAUGUCGACACUCUGCCGCAUCUUGCAUCAAUACCAACUUACGAUGAAGCAGCUGUAAAGCGUUCCAUUUGAGAGGAACAGCGUUAGAGUCAAAGACCUUCGCUAUGACUAUGUGCAAAGUCCUGGACUUUGACGCAGCUGCACAGCCUCAUGAGUUCAUUUUCAUUGAUGAAGCUGGAUUCAAUCUAGCUAAAACCAGGCGUCGGGGCCGAAAUGUUAAAAAAUAUCAAAGAAUCAAAGAAUGUCCCUGGGCAGUGCAAGGGAAAUAUCCCCUUGUGUGCCGCCAUCUGCAAGGAGUUCUCCAUCACCAUGCCACCCUAGGUCCCUACAAUACUGCACACAUAAUCAUAUUUCUGGAUGCACUACAUAAUGCAGUUGUACAGGAUGGACCAGAGCAACCUAGGUUUGUGGUUAUCUGGGAUAAUGUUAGUUUCCACCGGGCUGCUCUGGUCAGGGACUGAUUCACCAACCACAAUAACUUCACAGUUGUAUACUUGCGAUGUGUACUCCCCAUUUCUCAAUCCAAUUGAGGAAUUAUUUUCGGCUUGGCGUUGGAAGGUGUAUGACCGCCAACCACAUGCCCACCUGCCUCCUCUGCAAGCAAUGGAAGAGGUAUGCGGAGACAGAAGUGGGGUAAGUCCAGGGUUGGAUACGCAAGGCAAUAUUUUUCCCAUUGCCUAGCCAUGGAUGACAUUGCUUGUGAUGUGGAUGAGGUGAUGUGGCCAGACCCUAACAGAAGGCAGGAUCCAUAAACCAUCCACCCCAUCCCUUACAAUCCCUUACAAUACUAUUUUUAGUUUACCAUUGCACUGUAAUUUUACUGUAAUUAUUUUUGUUUCUUUGAGUUUACAGUAACAUAUUGUUUGAUUACUGUACUGUAAUUCUAUUUUCCUUUGUGCUUUUUUGUUGUUGUAAAAACCUGCAAUGGCAAAAAAAUAAGCUGGAUAUUUGUUUUCUGAAGCCUUUCUAGUUUUGUGUUAAUUGAAAUGUGAGUAGAUGUACUGUACUGAAACAAUCUUUCACAGAAGCCUGUAUGAGAAAAUUAAAAAGGAAUACAACGUACUAAAGACAGCAGUGUUUUGUAUAAAGUACAUCAGUGUGUUGUUGCUGCUUUGAAAGAGUCAUUCAAAUGGUGCAUGUGUGUAUCAUUUUGAAAAAGGAUUGUUAGGUUUUGAUUGCAGAGUUUCAUUUUGACAUAGAAGUGAGAUGUUUAUCUCCAAGUGUUGUGUCUUAUUUGGCUUGUGUGUAGAGUUUUGACACAAUGAGCCAAAUUCCGCAACAAGUGUGUGAGUAAUCGCAAAAUACUGUAAUCUGCUGAGGUGGAACAAAGGAGGAUGACACCAAUCAUCUCUGUCACCACACACACACAUACACACACAUACCAUCAACCCUUAAGCCCAAACAUAAUUUUCUCGCCAUUCUCAAUUAUGUCUUUGAUAACUUUAGAAAGGGAAAUUAAGUGUGUGUGUGUGUCUGUUCGUGUGUGUGCCUGCGUGUGCGUGCGUGUAUGUGUGUGACAAGCCUCAGCUCGUGUAAGGAGCUUUGUGAAGGAGAUGAGAGUUCAGCUGACAGUGGCUGAGGAUUAUCUGAAAGCAUAGAAACAGCCUUAAAGAGAAUGUGUGGGUGUGUGUGCAUGUGUGUAAAUUGUAAAGAGCCAUUUCCCUCAACAGGGACCAUCAAAGUUCUUAGCUUUUAUCUUUAAUUAUUUGAGAAAAGUGACUCCCAAAACACACUCAGCCCUGUCGAGAACAUUCAUAAAAUAAAAAAAUGUCUUGUCAGAUACAGAUGUAUGGUCUGCCUCACUGAUGAUGCAUAAUAACAUGCUUACCUAGAAUCCUUAGUUGAUACACCCAUUUUUGCACUAAGACAUUUAUGAUAUACAGUAUACCCAUUGAUAAUUGAAGAAUACAAGUUAUAAAUGCCUCAUGAGCUUAGUUCAGAACCCAAAAUAUAAGUUUGUUUUACUCCACUGUUUGUAGAUAAUGUAGAUAUUAAGAAACCUUGUGUAGCCUCAAAACAUGGUUAGAACUAUAAUUUUGAUAUCAUGGAUGGCCAGUCCUUGCAAUCCAUGCACUGUAAAACAAAUCCGCUUUGGAUCAACCUGAAAAGAUUACUUGAACUGGUUACAGGUAAAUAAGUUAGGUAUUCUCUGUUGAAAAAUACUAUAUUUGUUGAAACCAAAUAUAGGAUUUAAUGACACUGUUUUAUUUUAUUAUUACCUAACCUAUAUUUCAAGUUGCAACCUAUU